This 557-nucleotide ribosomal RNA is filed under the name uncultured bacterium. Its description in RNAcentral is "bacterial SSU rRNA". It matches the Rfam family "Bacterial small subunit ribosomal RNA", at positions 87 to 679 of the family's 1533-position model. The record is from RNAcentral.
GUGGAAGAGUGGCGAACGGGUGAGGAACACGUAAGAAUCUGCCCCUCAGUCGGGGACAACCCUUGGAAACGAGGGCUAAUACCCGAUACGCUGUGGAGUGAAAGAAUUUCGCUGAGGGAUGAUCUUGCGUCUGAUUAGCUAGUUGGUGUGGUAAUGGCACACCAAGGCGACGAUCAGUAGCUGGUCUGAGAGGAUGAACAGCCACAUUGGAACUGAGACACGGUCCAAACUCCUACGGGAGGCAGCAGUGGGGAAUUUUCCGCAAUGGACGAAAGUCUGACGGAGCGACGCUGCGUGAAGGAUGACGGCCUGCGGGUUGUAAACUUCUUUUCUCGAAGAAGAAGCUCUGACGGUAUUCGAGGAAUAAGCAUCGGCUAACUCCGUGCCAGCAGCCGCGGUAAGACGGAGGAUGCAAGUGUUAUUCGGAAUGAUUGGGCGUAAAGAGUCUGUANGCUGUAUGGAAAGUCUUUUGUUAAAUGCCUCGGCUCAACCGAGAUCCAGCAAAGGAAACUUCUAUACUUGAGGAAAGUAGAGGUACAGGGAAUUCCCGGUGGAGC